UAAGUUUUAAAAUGACUCAGUCUCCGCUCGAUAUCGGCCGUGCACAGUCAUGUUACCAGUUAUUCAGUGUUUGUUUACAUAAUACUAAAUAUAUCGAUGAUCUGUGUCAGUUUACGAAAUAACAAAAGAUUCGCAAAAACAUGCAAAUAAAUCGGAGACAUUGAAACCACGAAAAACACGAACGAACGAAAUGUGUUCCCACUAACUCUUAACCUGAACGCAUCCAAAAUAGAAAGAGAAAGAAACAGCGCAAUAGAGCUGCGUCCCAAAAUAGUGCGUUCGAAAAUAGAAAAAAAAUGCCUAGCUCCCAAUCAGUUACCGAAAAGAGCGCGGCGGGUGCGGACGCCGCACUGUGGUGGCAAACACCAUGGAAAGCUAUGGCCGACCUAGCCGAAGCAGUUGACGACCUCAUAUGUAGCUUCGAUUACAUGGACACAGCCAUGGACAACCUAGUCAUGCUGAUCUUCAUAUGGAUUCUGUUCUCCAUCGUGCUCCUCGGCAUAGCGAAAUGGGCGUACGCCCGCUUCGCCAAUAAGGCUGUCGAGGUCGACACAAAACAAAAGCCAACGACAGAUGAGACGAAAAAAACAACGAACGAAAUAAUAAACAGUGCUGAUAGUGUAUUAGCUACUAGUGCUAAAGUUAAAAGUGCCUCGUUUAAGCCUGCUAAGCCGACUGGGUUCGUCCCGGCAACCCCGCCGAACAAGCGGCGCUUGGGCCGCAUGUCCCCAGGCCCCGAACAGCUGACGUUAAAAAAGCAUCAAAGCGUGCUAGUACCAACAUGUACGGGACCCGACCCGCCGAGUGUGCAAUGGGUGAACGACCUAUUGACGUGGUUAUAUAAUGAUCUAGUUAUUGUGAAUGAACUAGUACAGCAAUGGAUUGUGUCCAUGAACGAGUUCUCCAAGAAGUCCGUGGAGGAGCAAGGUAUCGGCGUGGAGCUGGUGCGAGCUCUGGACAGUCAUCCGCCCAACAUCUCCAACGUGUUCUGCGAGUGUGACUCCAAGGAUGAUGUCACGAUCACAUGUGACUGUGAAGCCACCCCCGCCUUCCAGCUGAAGGCAUUCAGCCAGCGAGGGGAAAAGGUAGAAGUCUCACACUACAGAGUCAAUGUUAAUAGGUUCCGCGCCCGUUUGAACGUGGUGUGCGUGACGGACAAGUUGACGGGCGAGCUGAAAUGCGACGGCUGGCCCGAAGUAAAGGUGGCACUGGCGCCAGUGGGUGCGCUGCGGCCUAAUGCUACCGAGAGUAAUAUGCAACAGCUUAUCAGUGACAUAGUAGUGAACGCGCUACGCAGCACGAACCUGCAGUUCAGCUUAGCGCAGUACCCGACGUGCCCGCGUCUGCGCCGGUACGUCGAGACGCCCGGGCCCCGGCUGCCGCUGCACUAUGAUUCUAUGCUACAACAAGACAGACAAAUGUACACAUCUACCCCCAACUCGACGGCCGGCAGCGUCACCCUGCUCGGAGACAAGAGGCUGCUCGUCAAGCUGGUCUGCGCCAAGGACUUGGGAGGUAAAACCGGUUGCAUAGCUCCUUACUGCGUGGUGGAGAUGGAUGAGCCUCCGCAGAAGAAUCAGACGGCUUUCAAGAAGGAUACCAACAACCCACAGUGGGAGGAACACUUCUUAUUUGACCUGUCCCCGCAGACGGCAGAGCUUCUGUUCGAGGUGUAUGAUCGCACCGGUCCUCCGUCUCCCGGGGGAGGACCCUCGCAGAACAGGUUCCUAGGCCUGGGUCUGGUGGGAAUAGACGAGCUGCUGGCGGCACCGUCACAGCGCCAACAGAUCGCGCUGCAGACGCGGCCCAUGGAGGAACAUGACGUCAGUGGCACACUCACUGUCGAGUUCCUCUUCAUCGAGGGUGCCGACAUCCCGGACCUGGGCUCCCGGCCCGUCAAGAUCAAGGAGAGUCUGCGGACACUGUCGCCACAUGGACACCUCACCACUACCACUAAGACUAUCUUCAAGCAAAAUGGCCAUGACAACUCCCAGUUGACGGAGUCAGCUCUCCGAGAGCUGGAACUGAGCCCCACCAGCGCCGCCAACAAAUCCACGCUCAUCAUACACUCUGUGCAGAGGGAACCGAAGAAAUCCAUUAAGGUGGAAAUAACCGAUUCGGGGAAAUUCAUCGAAGUGGAGAGAGCGGAAGCGGAUACCGAAGUACCUCAAGAGAGUGGUAAAAUAGAUGAGAGUGAGACAGAGUCGGAGUUGCCAGUUUCCCCCAGUCCUAACGCGUCGCCUGGCAAGACUGUCAGGAUCAAGGAGAAUGGUGCUAAAGCAAAUGGUGAUACCGAGCAGGGUGACUACGUGCAGCAUCAGAACGAGAGCUCGCCGCCCGAGCCUGCGCCCCGCAAACGGAGGCGGGACUUCUUCGGUACUAUUAAGAGAAGACUGGGCCGGUCCCGCACUCGCGGUGCCUCUCUGGACCUGACAGACUCGGAGGUGGAGAACCAGAGCCGCAUCCGCAGCAUCAGCGCAGAGAGGAACGCCCAUGAGAAAGCGCUAUCGAUCCCCAACAGGAACGUGUACUCCGCCGGCGCGUCGCCCGCGCAGUCCGGGGACGAGUCACGCACCUCCAGGAGCGAAGUGUCCGGAUUCAGCACAGCAUCAGCUAGGACGUUCAUCCACGAGGCUUCGACCCUGGUGCUGGAGACCAUAGAAGCUGGUAUCAAGAAGCACUACUUGGUGCCGCUGACCAUCGCCCAGAGAUCAAGAUGGCGGCGGAAGGGCAUUAAGCUUCAUAUCUAUAAUGAGCAUACUUUUAUUGCUAAACAUCUUAGUGGUGGCACAGUUUGCGAAGUGUGUACUAAGACUAUAGCGCGGCGGCUCGGCAAGCAAGGCUACGAGUGUCGCGACUGUACGCUCAAGUGCCACAAGCAUUGCCACGUCAAAGUGGCAACCAAUUGCCCCCGGUCCACCGUGCACAAUAUGGAGCUAUCCAUGCUCCCUGUGUUAAGUGAAUAGUCAAGCUAAGCGAGAAGACUGCAAGAAAAAAUUAUAAAAAAAUACAAAAAAAAAUUUAAACAAGCAAUUUUCACUCAGGACUUACAUCGCAUCUCCGUACACAGACAAAAAUAUAAGGAUGUUGUGAUAGUUCAUAAAGAAGCUUGCGAUAUGCACAAAGCAUCGUUUUUAAAAAUCUACUUAAAUUAUUAAAAAAAAACUAAGUACAACACUAUGUACCCAGCUGACAUAUACAAUAUAUAGGCUUUUUUACAUAUGUUUAUAUGAAAAAAUGAAGUUUAAAAAUUAGAUUUUAAGUAAAUCGUAGGAUUUCUAAGCGUCGCUGACUAUUUAAAAUCUUUAAAAAUGUUACCCGCUUGUCUAUGUAGGAAAAUGUUUUAUUCAGAUGUAAUGGAAUUAAGACACAAUAUACUGCUCUGUUGAAUAUAAACGUGGAUUAAGAUUUAAUGAUAGCUUAUACAAAAAGUUGGCCGACUGUUUGGCAAGUGUUGCGCCGCUUCCGUCUGAGUAAAUCAGGUUCCCUUGGCGUAAAUUGUUAGACUUAGUUUAGGUAUCGCUAGAGCCCACCAUCAAAGCCAAUUUCGAAGCAAAAUAUUAGAUUUCAUUACCACAUAAUAAUAAUUAUAAAUGUCAGCCAAAAAUUAAGAAUUUCACACAAAAUUUUCUACCUCAUUUCUUCAAAGUUACGACAAUAUUAAAAAAAGAAUUAUAGUUACCAUUACAUAUUAUCUUUUUGUUUAUUUUGUUGUUGAAAACACUGAAUGUUUUUUUUAUUAAAAAUGAAAUUGUAUAACUCGAAAUAUUUAUUUUUUAGUUUUAAUAAAUGUGCUUUUUCGCACAAAAUGUGAUCUGUAAUCGUCGAAUGUGCAAUAAGUCUAAUAUUUAAUAAUAAACACGCGCUUUGAGCUUUCAAAUUUAUACCUUACUAUCUUAGAAAAUAAAUAAUUGGCCAUAAAUUGACAGUGACCACCUAGUAGUUUUUGAAAUUAUAACUGGAGAACAUACCCUAUAUUGAACAUAUUCAAUAAUGUAACUGCUCAGUUUAGUCGAUUAUAACAUCCAUUUUAUUCGACUAAUCAUAAUCGAAUCAGAAUCGAUUAUUCCCUAACUUUAAGCCAAGACAUGCCUACAUUUUCAAAUUAAAGCUACACUCAGUAGUUCAAGCGCAAUAAAGCGACGUGGACCAUUCAGGAAUACGAAAAUCUCAAUCUCCAGUAAUAAUUUAGAUUAAAUCGUAUGUAAGAACGCGUAUUGUUGAUUUUUUGUUCAUUAGAGUGACUGAAUUGUAAAGGUAUUGCUACAAAUAUUUUGUGCCUUAGUUUCCCUCCUUAAAACAUAAAUUAGGUAUAGGAUCAGAAGUAUGGUACUAAUUACUUACUGCACAUAUUACAAUGCUAGAGAUGUUUAGUCGAUUUUAUUGCCAGAGUGUGCCUAAAUACAUGAUUUAAUAAUCGACUAAUUUUUUUACCGUUUUACAAGUUGUAAGUUAUAUCGAAAUAUACAUUUUUAAUAUUAUAAUCCUAGUCGAUUAGUGUUCUCCGGAGCCAAGUACAUAAUAUUUGUAGCACAUUUUUUUAAGUUAAAAUUAAUGUUCAUAUUAAUUAAUACAUGACAAACCAUAAGUGUAUCUUUGUAUACUAAGAUUGUUAACGCAUAAUGUUUUAUGUGGAUCCAUAUAAAAUAUACUAUUAUUAUUAUUUAUAAAUGUUGCGCUAUGUGUUCUAUGUAAUUUUAUUUUUCCUCUUUUUUUAAUAAAAUGCCUUUUUUCAA
Molecule: unclassified non-coding RNA, 4736 nt
Filed under: Helicoverpa zea (corn earworm)
Lineage: Eukaryota; Metazoa; Arthropoda; Insecta; Lepidoptera; Noctuidae
Description: phospholipid transfer protein C2CD2L, transcript variant X15
Source: RNAcentral